Molecule: long non-coding RNA, 201 nt
Filed under: Gossypium barbadense (sea-island cotton)
Lineage: Eukaryota; Viridiplantae; Streptophyta; Magnoliopsida; Malvales; Malvaceae
Description: long non-coding RNA (GBAR_LNC015360)
Source: RNAcentral
UGCUGCGGAGUACACUUCACCUGCUGCGAAGUACUACUCACUCCUUCUGGAUUUACCUUAUUCAACAUGGCAGAUUCAUCAAAGGUAACAUCCCUACUGAUUAUCGUCUUCUUUGGCUCUAGACACCACAAACGAUAUCCCUUAACACCAGCAUUGAAGCCCAUGAAUAGAGCCUUCUUUGCUCUUGGAUCUAACUUUGAU